UAAACUGUUUCCAGAUAAUUUCUACCAAGAUUUGAUUAAUUAAUGGAAUUUUUAUUAUUGUUAUAAUUUAAAAUAAUCAUGUAACAUAUGCACUUUUCUAAAAGCAUUUCUUAAUGCAUUUUCAUUAUUUAUCAUGGAAGCACAUACUAGGUUGUCAGUAUAUACUGAAAUUUAAUUUCACCUCCUACAGAAAUGAGGGACAGAGGAGAGAACAAACAAGUCAGGUACUAUCAUGAACAGUCAAGGACCUAUUAAAUCUUCAUGCUACCUAACCCCUCUGCUAAGUUACAUCAUUUCAUUCAAACUUUGUUGAAUUCCUACGAUAUGUGUCAUAACACCAGUUUGAAAUCUUUCCAAAUUUAAGGUGAAACACCACUCUUAAAUCCAUCCUUCUUAAAUUACCUUGCCUAUUAUUUUUCCAAGAAAAUUAAGAUAAGUUAUCAUGAGUUUAUUCAACUUCCUCUGACUUGUCACUCAUUCAACUAGCCGUUCAAAAACACUUAUUCAUAUCUUAUGUUCCAGCCACUCUACUAGAUGUGGAGAUUGAAAAAUGAGAAAGUUCUGCCCCUUUUCCUUCAAGAAACAUACAUACAGCCUAGGAGAGACAGAGACAUGCAAAAAAAAAAAAAAUGAAAAUAUAGUUAAAAUUAGAGGUACAUAUAAGAAGCUACGGAAGUACAGACAGGUUGCCUUGGAGGCUCAGGAAAGCCUUCAAAGAAGGAUUAAUUUUCAAACUGAGUUUUAAUUAACAGAACUGGACCACACAAAAGAAGAAACAGAAUGGAAAAGUAAAAACAGAAAUUCCACAAAAAAAAAA
Molecule: long non-coding RNA, 817 nt
Filed under: Homo sapiens (human)
Lineage: Eukaryota; Metazoa; Chordata; Mammalia; Primates; Hominidae
Description: HSALNT0019609
Source: RNAcentral